UACGAAGGGGGCAAGCGUUGUUCGGAUUUACUGGGCGUAAAGCGUACGUAGGCGGAUGAUUAAGUCAGGGGUGAAAUCCCGGGGCUCAACCUCGGAACUGCCUUUGAUACUGGUCAUCUUGAGUCCGGGAGAGGUGAGUGGAACUCCUAGUGUAGAGGUGAAAUUCGUAGAUAUUAGGAAGAACACCAGUGGCGAAGGCAGCUCACUGGCCCGGAACUGACGCUGAGGUACGAAAGCGUGGGGAGCAAACAGG
RNAcentral lists this ribosomal RNA (253 nucleotides) under uncultured bacterium. RNAcentral's name for it is "partial 16S ribosomal RNA". It matches the Rfam family "Bacterial small subunit ribosomal RNA", at positions 524 to 776 of the family's 1533-position model. The record is from RNAcentral.